GACGAACGCUGGCGGCGUGCUUAACACAUGCAAGUCGAACGAAGAGCGAUGGAAGCUUGCUUCUAUCACUCUUAGUGGCGAACGGGUGAGUAACGCGUAAUCAACCUGCCCUUCAGAGGGGGACAACAGUUGGAAACGACUGCUAAUACCGCAUACGAUCUAAUCUCAGCAUCGAGGACAGAUGAACGUUGGCCUCUACAUGUAAGCUAUCACUGAUGGAGGGGAUGGCGUGUGAUUAGCUAGUUGGAGGGGUAACGGCCAACCGAGGCGAUGGUCAGUAGCGGGUCUGAGAGGAUGACCGGCCACAUUGGGACUGAGACACGGCCCAGACUCCUACGGGAGGCAGCAGUGGGGAAUUUUCGACAAUGGGCGAAAGCCUGAGGCAGCAAUGCCGCGUGUGUGAAGAAGGCCUCCGGUUGGUAAAGUACGUUUGUCAGGGAAGAAAGGCCUCUUGCGAAUAGCGAGAAGGGAUGACGGUACCGGAAUAGAAAGCCACGGCUAACUACGUG
RNAcentral lists this ribosomal RNA (509 nucleotides) under uncultured bacterium. Its description in RNAcentral is "partial 16S ribosomal RNA". It matches the Rfam family "Bacterial small subunit ribosomal RNA", at positions 28 to 507 of the family's 1533-position model. The record is from RNAcentral.